UACGGAGGGUGCAAGCGUUAUCCGGAUUUACUGGGCGUAAAGGGAGCGUAGGCGGCCUGCCAAGUCUGAUGUGAAAUACCGGGGCUCAACCCCGGGGCUGCAUUGGAAACUGGCAGGCUGGAGUGCCGGAGAGGCAGGCGGAAUUCCUAGUGUAGCGGUGAAAUGCGUAGAUAUCAGGAGGAACACCGGUGGCGAAGGCGGCCUGCUGGACGACGACUGACGUUGAGGCUCGAAAGCGUGGGGAGCGAACAGG
Molecule: ribosomal RNA, 253 nt
Filed under: uncultured Lachnospiraceae bacterium
Lineage: Bacteria; Bacillati; Bacillota; Clostridia; Lachnospirales; Lachnospiraceae
Description: partial 16S ribosomal RNA
Rfam family: Bacterial small subunit ribosomal RNA
Source: RNAcentral